GAAAGUAAGCAAGGGCAGACGGUGGAUGCCUUGGCUCUCGGAGGCGACGAAGGACGUGAUAAGCUGCGAAAAGCUCGGGGGAGGCGCAAAUAGCCCUUGAUCCCGGGAUAUCCGAAUGGGGCAACCCGGCAGGCUGAAGGCCUGCCAUCCCGUAAGGGAGGCGAACGUGGGGAACUGAAACAUCUAAGUACCCAUAGGAGGAGAAAAUAAACAAUGAUUCCGUAAGUAGUGGCGAGCGAACACGGAAGAGCCCAAACCCGUGCCGUCUAGGCGACACGGGGGUUGUAGGACCACGACGUGGCAAGAUAGAGUCAAGUGGAACGCCUUGGAAAAGGCGACCGUAGAGGGUGAUAGUCCCGUACACGACUGACGAUUGAAGCCUAGUGGCAUCCUGAGUAGCGCGGGGCACGAGAAAUCUUGCGUGAAACAGCGGGGCCCAUCCCGUAAGGCUAAAUACUCCCGAGAGACCGAUAGCGAACCAGUACCGUGAGGGAAAGGUGAAAAGAACCCCGAGCAGGGGAGUGAAAUAGACCCUGAACCCGUCUGCCUACAAGCGGUCGGAGCAUCGUCAAGAUGUGACGGCGUGCCUUUUGCAUAAUGAACCUACGAGUUACCUUCCCCGGCAAGGUUAAGUACCUAAGGUACGGAGCCGAAGCGAAAGCGAGUCUGAAGAGGGCGGCCAGUCGGGGGGGGUAGACGCGAAACCGAGUGAUCUACCCUUGGCCAGGUUGAAGGUUGGGUAACACCAACUGGAGGACCGGAUGGGUAAGCGUUGAAAAGCUUUCCAAUGAGCUGAGGGUAGGGGUGAAAGGCUAAUCAAACUCGGAGAUAGCUCGUACUCCCCGAAAUGCAUUUAGGUGCAGCCUCUUUAUAGUAUAUCGUGAGGUAGAGCGACUGAUUGGAUGCGAGGGCUUCACCGCCUAUCAAGUCCAGAUAAACUCCGAAUGCGCGAUAUAUAUUUACAGGGAGUGAGGGCGCGGGUGCUAAGGUCCGUGUCCGAGAGGAGAAGAAUCCAGACCACCGGCUAAGGCCCCCAAAUGAUCGUUGAGUUGAACUAACGAGGUCGGAUCGCAGAGACAGCUAGGAUGUUGGCUUGGAAGCAGCCAUUCAUUUAAAGAGUGCGUAACAGCUCACUAGUCGAGCGAUCUGGCGUGGAUAAUAAUCGGGCAUAAACGAUCUGCCGAAGCCGUGGAUGUCGUAAGACAUGGUAGGGGAGCAUUCCAUGCGGCGUCGAAGAUGAGGGAUGACCCUUGUUGGAGCGCAUGGAAAAGCAAAUGUAGGUAUGAGUAACGAUAAGGGGGGCGAGAAACCCCCCCGCCGAAAGACCAAGGUUUCCUGAUCAACGCUAAUCGGAUCAGGGUGAGUCGGGACCUAAGGCAAAGCCGAACGGCGCCGCCGAUGGAAGAAUGGGUUAAUAUUCCCAUACUGCCUCAUGGAGUGACGUGGAGACGGAGAAGUGACAGUCCUGCCGGCUGACGGAAUAGCCGGUUGAAGGGUGUAGGAGUCGAUCAUGGUAGGCAAAUCCGCCGUGAGAUCCGAACCUGACAGUAUACUGAGCGCUUGCGCGACGUAAUAUGGACGUAACCAUGCUCCCAAGAAAAUCCGCUAAACUUAUCCAUGCGGCACCCGUACCGUAAACGGACACACGUGGUCGGGUUGAGAAUACUGAGGCGCUCGAGUGACUCACGGUUAAGGAACUAGGCAAAUUGACCCUGUAACUUCGGGAUAAAGGGUCCUCGUCGUAAGGCGAGGCGCAGAGAAUAGGUCCAGGCAACUGUUUAACAAAAACACAUGGCUGUGCUAAAUGGAAACAUGACGUAUACAGCCUGACACCUGCCCGGUGCUGGAAGGUUAAGAGGAGAUGUCAUCGCAAGAGAAGCGUUGAAUUGAAGCCCCAGUAAACGGCGGCCGUAACUAUAACGGUCCUAAGGUAGCGAAAUUCCUUGUCG
This 1949-nucleotide ribosomal RNA is filed under the name human gut metagenome. RNAcentral's name for it is "bacterial LSU rRNA". It matches the Rfam family "Bacterial large subunit ribosomal RNA", at positions 1 to 1974 of the family's 2925-position model. The record is from RNAcentral.